AGUGAACGCUGGCGGUAGGCCUAACACAUGCAAGUCGAACGGCAGCACAGGAGAGCUUGCUCUCUGGGUGGCGAGUGGCGGACGGGUGAGGAAUACAGCGGAAUCUACUUUUUCGUGGGGGAUAACGUAGGGAAACUUACGCUAAUACCGCAUACGACCUACGGGUGAAAGCAGGGGAUCUUCGGACCUUGCGCGAUUGAAUGAGCCGAUGUCGGAUUAGCUAGUUGGCGGGGUAAAGGCCCACCAAGGCGACGAUCUGUAGUUGGUCUGAGAGGAUGAUCAGCCACACUGGAACUGAGACACGGUCCAGACUCCUACGGGAGGCAGCAGUGGGGAAUAUUGGACAACGGGCGCAAGCCUGAUCCAGCCAUACCGCGUGGGUGAAGAGGGCCUUCGGGUUGUAAAGCCCUUUUGUUGGGAAAGAAAUCCAGCUGGUUAAUACCCGGUUGGGAUGACGGUACCCAGAGAAUAAGCACCGGCUAACUUCGUGCCAGCCGCCGCAGUAA
This 506-nucleotide ribosomal RNA is filed under the name uncultured bacterium. RNAcentral's name for it is "partial 16S ribosomal RNA". It matches the Rfam family "Bacterial small subunit ribosomal RNA", at positions 29 to 523 of the family's 1533-position model. The record is from RNAcentral.